AAUCUCGGGUAAUCGCGGUCUGCUAUGCGCAGGCUGAGGAAAGUCCAUGCCCGCACAGGCUGAGAUGCCUGUAGUGUUCGCGCUUAGCCCAAUAAGCUAAGGUACUGCUUUGCAGUAACGGCGAAGGACGCAGCUAAGGAGUGAUCUAUGCUGUUAACCUUCUGAAAAGUGCCACAGUGACGAUCCAGUAUGGAAACAUAUUGUUUGGAACGGGUAAACCCCGCGAGCGAGUAACCCAAACUUUGGUAGGGGCGCUUCAUGUCGGGAAAUGAACAAUGCAUGAAGGCAGAUGAAUAAUCUGUAGAUAGAUGAUUACCCUCAUUGAGUUGUGCCUGAGCAGCUUAAUGAGACAAAACAUGGCUUACAGAG
Molecule: RNase P RNA, 369 nt
Filed under: Loigolactobacillus rennini DSM 20253
Lineage: Bacteria; Bacillati; Bacillota; Bacilli; Lactobacillales; Lactobacillaceae
Description: Lactobacillus rennini DSM 20253 Bacterial RNase P class B
Rfam family: Bacterial RNase P class B
About the family: Ribonuclease P (RNase P) is a ubiquitous endoribonuclease, found in archaea, bacteria and eukarya as well as chloroplasts and mitochondria. Its best characterised activity is the generation of mature 5'-ends of tRNAs by cleaving the 5'-leader elements of precursor-tRNAs. Cellular RNase Ps are ribonucleoproteins.
Source: Rfam by way of RNAcentral